UACCAGACUCCUACGGGAGGCAGCAGUGAGGAAUAUUGGUCAAUGGGCUUACGCCUGAACCAGCCAAGUCGCGUGAGGGAAGACUGCCCUAUGGGUUGUAAAAUUCUUUUCUCAGGGACGAAGAAAGUGACGGUACCUGAGGAAUAAGCCACGGCUAACUACGUGCCAGCAGCCGCGGUAAUACGUAGGUGGAAAGCGUUAUCCGGAUUUACUGGGUGUAAAGGGCGUGUAGGCGGGACUGCAAGUCAGAUGUGAAAACCAUGGGCUCAACCUGUGGCCUGCAUUUGAAACUGUAGUUCUUGAGUACUGGAGAGGCAGACGGAAUUCCUAGUGUAGCGGUGAAAUGCGUAGAUAUUAGGAGGAACACCAGUGGCGAAGGCGGUCUGCUGGACAGCAACUGACGCUGAGGCGCGAAAGCGUGGGGCGCAAACAGGAUUAGAUGCCCUCGUAA
Molecule: ribosomal RNA, 451 nt
Filed under: uncultured bacterium
Lineage: Bacteria
Description: partial 16S ribosomal RNA
Rfam family: Bacterial small subunit ribosomal RNA
Source: RNAcentral